UGCACAAUGGGGGCAACCCUGAUGCAGCCAUGCCGCGUGUGUGAAGAAGGCCUUCGGGUUGUAAAGCACUUUCAGUUGUGAGGAAAGGUUAGUAGUUAAUACCUGCUAGCUGUGACGUUAACAACAGAAGAAGCACCGGCUAACUCCGUGCCAGCAGCCGCGGUAAUACGGAGGGUGCGAGCGUUAAUCGGAAUUACUGGGCGUAAAGCGCACGCAGGCGGUCUGUUAAGCUAGAUGUGAAAGCCCCGCGCUCAACGUGGGAGGGUCAUUUAGAACUGGCAGACUAGAGUCUUGGAGAGGGGAGUGGAAUUCCAGGUGUAGCGGUGAAAUGCGUAGAGAUCUGGAGGAACAUCAAUGGCGAAGGCAACUCCCUGGCCAAAGACUGACGCUCAUGUGCGAAAGUGUGGGUAGCGAACAGGAUUAGAUACCCUGGUAGUCCACACCGUAAACGCUGUCUACUAGCUGUUUGUGGAUUUAAUCCGUGAGUAGCGAAGCUAACCCCGAUAAGUAGACCGCCUGGGGAGUACGGCCGCAAGGUUAAAACUCA
This 547-nucleotide ribosomal RNA is filed under the name uncultured Bay of Fundy bacterium BA10-3A. RNAcentral describes it as "bacterial SSU rRNA". It matches the Rfam family "Bacterial small subunit ribosomal RNA", at positions 365 to 903 of the family's 1533-position model. Lineage: Bacteria; Pseudomonadati; Pseudomonadota; Gammaproteobacteria; Alteromonadales; Alteromonadaceae. The record is from RNAcentral.